UACAGAGGGGGCAAGCGUUAUUCGGAAUUAUUGGGCGUAAAGGGCGCGUAGGCGGUCCUUCAAGUCUCUCGUGAAAUCCCUCGGCUUAACUGAGGACGUGCGGGAGAUACUGCUGGGCUUGAGUCCGGAAGAGGGUGGUGGAAUUCCCAGUGUAGCGGUGAAAUGCGUAGAUAUUGGGAGGAACACCGGUGGCGAAGGCGGCCGGCUGGGGGUGACCUGACGCUGAGGCGCGAAAGCGUGGGGAGCGAACCGG
Molecule: ribosomal RNA, 253 nt
Filed under: uncultured bacterium
Lineage: Bacteria
Description: partial 16S ribosomal RNA
Rfam family: Bacterial small subunit ribosomal RNA
Source: RNAcentral